This is a small nuclear RNA of Lemur catta (Ring-tailed lemur), 107 nucleotides long. The record is from RefSeq and is a predicted model, not a curated record. Lineage: Eukaryota; Metazoa; Chordata; Mammalia; Primates; Lemuridae.
GUGCUUGCUUUGGCAGCACAUAUACUAAAAUUGGAACAAUACAGAGAAGAUUACCAUGGCCCCUGCACAAGGAUGACACGCAAAUUCAUUAUGUGUUCCACAAAAGA